Molecule: long non-coding RNA, 304 nt
Organism: Vidua chalybeata
Lineage: Eukaryota; Metazoa; Chordata; Aves; Passeriformes; Viduidae
Exons: 4
Source: RefSeq, a predicted model, not a curated record
CAGCAUUCCUUGUCCUAGCUGGAUCUACGCCCCAGAGGGACAACUGAGGAAUUACUGCAGAAAGUAUUUUAAUUUAGCUGCAAAGACAGGCUUGUUGAGACAACUACAAAUGGUUACUCCCCUGAAGUGCCUCCUGCCUUGUCAGCCCUCCCUGCCCAGAAGAAACCCGGGUGUGAUCCUGGCUCUUCCCUGAUAACCUUCUUCAUGACAGAAACUGAAGCACCAUGCACAGGGUAUAUACAGAAAUUAAAAGGAGGAUACUAAAGCUCACUGGUCUAUAUCUGAUUCAAGAUGGGAAAUCCUA